This 497-nucleotide ribosomal RNA is filed under the name uncultured bacterium. RNAcentral describes it as "partial 16S ribosomal RNA". It matches the Rfam family "Bacterial small subunit ribosomal RNA", at positions 28 to 507 of the family's 1533-position model. The record is from RNAcentral.
GAUGAACGCUGGCGGCGUGCCUAAUACAUGCAAGUCGAGCGAACAGACGAGGAGCUUGCUCCUCUGACGUUAGCGGCGGACGGGUGAGUAACACGUGGAUAACCUACCUAUAAGACUGGGAUAACUUCGGGAAACCGGAGCUAAUACCGGAUAAUAUAUUUAACCGCAUGGUUCAAUAGUGAAAGACGGUUUUGCUGUCACUUAUAGAUGGAUCCGCGCCGCAUUAGCUAGUUGGUAAGGUAACGGCUUACCAAGGCAACGAUGCGUAGCCGACCUGAGAGGGUGAUCGGCCACACUGGAACUGAGACACGGUCCAGACUCCUAGGGGAGGCAGCAGUAGGGAAUCUUCCGCAAUGGGCGAAAGCUUGACGGAGCAACGCCGCGUGAGUGAUGAAGGUCUUCGGAUCGUAAAACUCUGUUAUUAGGGAAGAACAAAUGUGUAAGUAACUAUGCACGUCUUGACGGUACCUAAUCAGAAAGCCACGGCUAACUACGUG